Molecule: ribosomal RNA, 766 nt
Filed under: uncultured marine haptophyte
Lineage: Eukaryota; Haptophyta
Description: bacterial SSU rRNA
Rfam family: Bacterial small subunit ribosomal RNA
Source: RNAcentral
CAAGCGUUAUCCGGAAUCAUUGGGCGUAAAGCGCCUGUAGGUUGUUUAAUAAGUCUGUUGUUAAAGACCAGGGCUCAACCCUAGAAAAGCAAUGGAAACUGUUAGACUAGAGUAUGGCAGGGGUAGAGGGAAUUUCUAGUGUAGCGGUGAAAUGCGUAGAUAUUAGAAAGAACACCGGUGGCGAAAGCGCUCUACUGGACCAUUACUGACACUCAGAGGCGAAAGCUAGGGUAGCAAAAGGGAUUAGAUACCCCUGUAGUCCUAGCCGUAAACGAUGGAUACUAGAUGUUGUAUGUUAUUUACAGUAUCGUAGCUAACGCGUUAAGUAUCCCGCCUGGGGAGUACGCUCGCAAGGGUGAAACUCAAAGGAAUUGACGGGGGCCCGCACAAGCGGUGGAGCAUGUGGUUUAAUUCGAUGCAACGCGAAGAACCUUACCAGGGCUUGACAUACUACAGAUUCUUUUGAGAGAGAGAAGUGCCUUCGGGAAUGUAGAUACAGGUGGUGCAUGGCUGUCGUCAGCUCGUGUCGUGAGAUGUUGGGUUAAGUCCCGCAACGAGCGCAACCCUUAUUUUUAGUUACCAAUUCGUUGGGUUCUCUAGAAAGACUGCCGGUGACAAACCGGAGGAAGGUGAGGAUGACGUCAAGUCAGCAUGCCCCUUAUGUCCUGGGCUACACACGUGCUACAAUGGCUAAGACAAAGAGUUGCGAGCUCGCGAGAGUAAGCUAAUCUCAUAAACUUAGCCUAAGUUCAGAUUGUAGGCUGCA